CCUACGGGAGGCAGCAGUGGGGAAUAUUGGGCAAUGGGCGCAAGCCUGACCCAGCAACGCCGCGUGAAGGAAGAAGGCUUUCGGGUUGUAAACUUCUUUUAUCAGGGACGAAGCAAGUGACGGUACACGAUGAAUAAGCCACGGCAAACUACGGGCCAGCAGCCGUGGUAAUACGUGGGUGGCAAGGGUUAUCCGGAUUUACGGGUGUAAAGGGCGUGUAGGCGGGAGUGCAAGUCGGAUGUGAAAACUAUGGGCUCAACCCAUAGCCUGCAUUUGAAACUGUACUUCUUGAGUGCUGGAGAGGCAAGCGGAAUUCCGGGUGUAGCGGUGAAAUGCGUAGAUAUACGGAGGAACACCAGUGGCGAAGGCGGAUUACUGGACAGUAACUGACGCUGAGGCGCGAAAGCGUGGGGAGCAAACAGGAUUAGAUACCCGUGUAGUC
This 442-nucleotide ribosomal RNA is filed under the name uncultured bacterium. Its description in RNAcentral is "partial 16S ribosomal RNA". It matches the Rfam family "Bacterial small subunit ribosomal RNA", at positions 338 to 795 of the family's 1533-position model. The record is from RNAcentral.